Bos indicus x Bos taurus (hybrid cattle) is the source of this 1625-nucleotide long non-coding RNA. NCBI's taxonomy places the organism in Eukaryota, Metazoa, Chordata, Mammalia, Artiodactyla, Bovidae. The record is from Ensembl.
AUUUUUUUUUGCAACUAGAGGGGGAAGCACAGAGCUAAAAAUAAAACGAAAAGAUCAGUAUCUGUCAGUCUGACAGCUGAUUGGCUGCUCGGAGAUGCAUAUAAUUACCAGCAACUGGCGCUGGGUAGGCAAAGCCGGGAGAAACUGCUGAGACGAGUGAUGGCUGCAAGGACACAAGUAGCUUUGCCUCCUGGAGACACAGAAAAAUUCCAUGACCCGUGUGAACCCAUGUCGGGGAAGACUGAAGUGGGGUGUAAACUCAGGAUGGAUAAAUGCCAAAGAUACAGUAAAUAGGUGAGAUGAAAUAUUUAUUUUGUAUGCAUUAGCAAUAUGAGGGGGGCUUCCCUGGUGGUCCAGUGGUUAAGAAUUGACCCUCCACUGCAUGGGGCACGAAUUGGAUCCCUGGUCUGGGAAGAUCUCACAUGCCGCAGAGCAACUAAGCCCCAUGCACCGCAACUACUGAGCCCACGUGCUGCAACUGAGGUAUGAAGCCCGCACCCCUUAGAGGCUGUGCUCUGCAACAAGAGAGGCCACCGCAGGGAGAAGCCCACACCACGGCAGAGCAGCGCAUUGUUGCCGCAGUGAAGAUCACGCAGCAAUGAAGACCCAGCGCAGCCAUAAAUAAAAUAACAGGUAAAAUUCUAAAAUACAAAGAACAUGAGGAGUCAGGGUGAGCCGAGGGGGUCUUUGGUUUUGCCCCAGUCUCAUGCUGGGAAAAAGGGUCCCAUCUCUGGUGGUGGCCUAGUGGUGAGGAGCAGGCACUGGUUGCUCGAGUCACCAUGUCUGUUAUUAACUCUGUGACCAGGCAAGUGACUUCACGGCCCUGUCUCCCGUCUGUGAAAUGGGGUGAUAAUGGCCAACUCCUCCGGUUAUGAUAAGGCUUCAGAAGGUUCUGGAAUGCUUUAUCCUGGCAAAGCUGAUGGUGGAUCACCAAGGUGGUGGCACCCUAGGUUCAAAGAAGUGCCUUCGUAGAAGUGCCAUUGCCUGGAAAGAUCUUUGCCCUGUGACUGAGCAUGGACCGAGAGCCACAGAGCAGAUAGUCUCUGCUGCUGGGGACCCCUGUAUGGGCGACCCCAGGGGCUGGAAGGAGCUCAGCCCUUGCUUCUGCUGGGGGCAUGUGUGGGCAUGGAGCUGGCCCAGCCCUUUCCUGUCCUGUCCCAGCAUGAUUUCAACAGAGGGAGCGUCCUGGGCGUGUUUCCCCCUCGGAAAUCUCACCCCGCUGAGGUGGGAUUUGGGGAGCUCUGGCUCAAUUUGCUGCCCCAACCAACAGGCCAGGCUUAGAGAUGCUCAGAAACCAGAGUGGGGAUACAAGUUCCUGACCCACAGCCUGGGCCUGGCCUGGUGGAAGGUCUUUGGCUCAGGCCGGCCUGACAGCCCUUGACUCCAUCCUUCAGGGCUGUAUGACUCCAGACAAGUGUCUCCGCCUCUCAGGCCCUCAGUUUCCCCAUCCCUAAAGUCUCAGGCUGGGCCUGCCUGCCCACUCUAGGAACCUGGGGUUUCCCAGGAGGACACAGAGCUUAUGUAGAUGUGCAUGGGGAAGUCCCAGGCCACCCGCUUCCUUUCCAAUCAAGAGAGCUCCAUUUUCAUCUCUGGUAUAUUGAUGAUUUAAGUAGCACUUCAUUUUU